Molecule: non-coding RNA, 3845 nt
Organism: Sus scrofa (pig)
Lineage: Eukaryota; Metazoa; Chordata; Mammalia; Artiodactyla; Suidae
Source: RefSeq, a predicted model, not a curated record
UGACCUGAGCCACAGCAGCGACAACCCCAGGUCCUUAACCCACUGUACCACCAGGGAACUCCUAGAGCCUCUUUUUAAAUGCCCACUUAUGGAAAAGAAAACUGAGACCCAGAGAGGUCAAGUGAUUUUCCCAAGAUCGUGCAAAUUAUUUGAGUGGCUGAGCUGGGACUAGCUGACACAUACUCAUUCACCGAACAAAUACUGAGCCUUGUUCCAUGCAGGGGCUCUGCCAGGUGUCCUGGAGAUGUUCUGCCCUCCCGGAGCUCACAGAAUAAGAGCAGAGCCCACUUGGUGAGCGUGGAGUGGGAAAGAUAUAUCAGAAAUCUGUCGAGGAGGAGGUGAGGCUUGCAGACGGGAAAAAAAGAGCCCGGAGGAUGAACAGCAUAAGCACAGACACAUGAAACUGUGAGAGAGGAGAGGAUGGAUCAGAAGGUCACCGACACCUGCAGUGUGGCCACCUAGUGGCUGCUCAAGACAUUGCAGGCAAAACAGAAGGGAGAAUGAUGGCUCACACUCACUGAGUGCUAUUUACUCUAUGCUUCCGGCCAUGCAUUAACUCAUUUCCUCUUCCCUGCAGCCUGACAGGAUGGGCAUCAUUUUAUCCCUAACUUUCAGAUUCAUAUGCUGAGGCACCUUCAUUAGUAACUUGCCCAACACUGCACUUAUUUAAAAUGGGAGGAUGGGAUUUGCCGAGAGAAAUCUGGCUUCAAGCCCAGGCUCACAGCCACUCAGCUACACCUGCCUGGAGGAGGAAGGCUCACCUCCCAGGUGUAAAGGGAUGGGUCCCAGUUGACUCUGUGUUUGGGAAAGGACUUUCUGGUGGCCGUGUUUCCACAAGAGUGGGAAGAAGGGGAAGAGUGGAGGGUUACUGCCAAAAUCAGGCAAAGCGGCCCGUCCGAAGAAGGGAAAGGAGGGUGGGCUGGGGUGGGGGUGGGAUUCGAGGUUAAUCCCGCCUGGGGAUGGGUGCCUGAGAGGUGGUGCCACUAACAGCACAGGGGACUCAGUGGCCCAUCAGCAACUCCCAUCAGAGGUGCCUGCGAAGCUGUGCGGGAGGCGACUACGUCCUGGAGGUACCACUUUGGAAGCAGAUACUUCCCGGGAAGGGAUGGAAAUGAAUGGAGUGGAUAAGGUCCCUGUGGCCUUCAUUCAACCACUACUGAUGAGGGAGCCCCUGUGUUCUGGAUCUGUGCUGGACACCUGGACAUUACGAUAAACAAGACAGCUGUGGUCUCUGCCUCGUGGAGAUCAGAGCUCACAGUCUUGUUCAGAGGCCAUCACCAUGACCAACGUGAGACUGUGAGCCCCCUGGCAGGGGGGAGCUUGGAGAGCUGAGGGCAGGAGGUCAGGACCACUCCCCAGAGAAAACGGCCACCAGCCUAUGACGUUGAGAGCAGAAGGAUCAGAUCGGCCAUCCCACCUUGCACCGGAGACGGGGCUCUGGUGCUCGUGGUGAGAGCAGCCUCAGCAGAGUGUUGCGCACGAAGGCGGGGAGGAGCGAGUGGAAGGAUGGAGGCAGAAGCAGCAAACAUCAGCCACCCCACAUGGUACUGGAUGGGCCCGCUCUCCACUUUCCCAGAUGCCUCUUUCCAAAUGGACUGUGACGCCACAGCAGCCACACUUGAUUUUCCUCUUACACCUACCCCCCGCCCCCGACAGAGAACGCUAUGCUGCGGGAGAAUUAGCAAUGGAUUUAAAGUCAAAAGACCAGGGUCCAUGCCACCACCCAGUUGUGCAAGGUCACCCCCUCUCCGAGUGUGCACUUUUUCCUCAAGAAAUUAGGAUGCAAAUGAAUCUCCAGUGAGAGAGCAUCCUACACACCCUCGUGCAACAGCCCUUGGCUUCAGUGCCAAAACCACCGUCACUGCCACCAUCACUGAGGCUGGGUUUGUGGGGAAGGCCCUUUGUUGCCUCUUGGCACCUGGAAGAUUCUUCCAUCAGCUUCUUCCCAUCCCCCUGCUCCCCCCCUUGCUCGCGUCCCCUCCUCCUUGUCCCUCUCCCGACUUUGUCAGCUCCCGUCCACCCCGUCCCCCAUGGCACACACGGAGCUCACAGAACUGGUCAGGAGCCCGGUUAUUCAUUUGCAAAGUCCACGUACCGUACUGUACCGGCUCAGCAACGCAGAACGAACCAGCCCCCUUAUGUUGGUGCGUCCAGAGGUCCAGGAGAGCAGCCGGGUCCAGCAUGUUCCGUCCCCACCAGCCAAGCAGAGCCUCAAGCCUGGCUAUUACCCCAACUUGUCACUUGACCUCGGGCAGAAGCCAACCUUUCCUUGGGCUUCAGCUUUCACAGCUCAGUAUCAGUAAAAGGGGCUAAAACGGGGGUCUGGCUGCUCGCCGCUCAAAGCCAGUAAAGAGAGGCGAGCUGGGUGGGAAGGAACAUUUGCUUUAUCCCUGAGGUCGGCAAAUGGGGGAGGCUGGACUUGUGUCCACAGGCGCCCUCACCCCCCUGACCACCGGGGGGCAAGAGCUUUUAAAGGAGAGCUUCAGGGGCAUAAACAGACGCAGGGGACCACAAGCAGCCAGCGUGUCGGUCGCGCCGCGGCCUGAGCAGCCCCCUUGACGGAGCACCGCGCAUCUUCCUUCCGGGGUCAGCCUGGUCCCGUUUCCCUGAGUCCGAAUCGUGGCAGCUGAUGUCCUGGCUACCGUCUGGUCGGCAUGUGGUUCACUUCUUCCACCUGGUGGGGCCCCACGAUCGACAGACAGCGCGGAGGAUGGGGUUCCGAGUAUCACCUGCCGCCCGUGAGGAGAAACUAAAGGGCCCUGACUCUGCGUGACGGCUAAACCAUCAUUAGUUGCCACCAGGUGGCAGCCGAGGCUACAGGCAGAAGAAGAGCAGCCCCUCCCCAACCCACUGCAGACCAACCAGAUGGAGCAUCAGUGUUCCCUGACCCCGGGACCUUCAGGGGAAAGAGCUUGCGCGAGCAGGUGCAGGUGUGUGUCUGAGGGGUAUGGACAGACAUACAGCUGGACAGAUGACUGGGUUUAGCCCCUUCCUCUGGGUCUCUUCCUACCCCUCAGGUUUCCCUUCCCUGGGCUCAGCCCUGACCUGGGUGCUGGUGAUCAGAGAGGAAAGUCACCCCAGGCCUGCCCUUGAGGAGCGCCCAGACCUGGGGCCGGACACAGACCAGUGAACAGACCACACAGGGUGCCUCGCGGGGAAGGCAUGACAGGACCACUUCUCCUGGCAAGUGCACGGAGCAUCUGAAAGGCCAAGUGGUCCCACACGCAGUGGGAAGAAGAGCUGGCACUUGAACCAGAGCCUGCACGAAUCUUAAGCCCGAGCUCCUGGCCACUGUAUGUACUGCUGGGAACUUAACACUGGGAGGAGGGCCAAGCUGGGGGGUCCAGGCCCUGGGCCAGAUCUAGAGGGAGGCAGAUGCCUCCCAUCUACGGCCCAGUGCAAGUCCAGGCAUCUGACUCACCUGUGGGCUCGGUCCAAGGGGAUCAGGUAGGAGAACAGAGGGUCACAACUCUCUGCACCCCCCCAACCCCGCUCCUCUACCCUGGGCCGGAGGAGGAGAGGCCAGCAGCAGUCCCAUCUGAUGGCUCCCAAGCACAAUGAGCAGUAGUAUUUCUGCUCGUGUCCCUCUGAGCGGGAGGCAAGUCACCUUGAAAACCAUCCCAACGCCCUGCGUCUCUGUCUUACUAACAGGUGACACUCAAGCUAGAUCUCCGCAGCCUUUUUUCAAAACCAACUCCAGGCCGGAAGUUCCCCUUAGAGUCUAACUGAAGUAAGCUGUGCUGCCAUCACCUUCGACUCUGCAGUUCCUGUGUGCAGCUUUUCGUGGGCGAGUUAAAUGCUGACCCCAUUGUGUGGAGGCUCAGCCUUUCCUUCUAUGGCGAAGU